This 301-nucleotide ribosomal RNA is filed under the name uncultured bacterium. RNAcentral describes it as "partial 16S ribosomal RNA". It matches the Rfam family "Bacterial small subunit ribosomal RNA", at positions 509 to 809 of the family's 1533-position model. The record is from RNAcentral.
CAGUAGCCGCGGGAAUACGUAGGGUGCAAGCGUUAAUCGGAAUUACUGGGCGUAAAGCGUGCGCAGGCGGUGUUGUAAGACUGAUGUGAAAUCCCCGGGCUCAACCUGGGAACUGCAUUGGUGACUGCAACGCUGGAGUGCGGCAGAGGGGGAUGGAAUUCCGCGUGUAGCAGUGAAAUGCGUAGAUAUGCGGAGGAACACCGAUGGCGAAGGCAAUCCCCUGGGCCUGCACUGACGCUCAUGCACGAAAGCGUGGGGAGCAAACAGGAUUAGAUACCCCCGUAGUCCCUGUCUCUUAUAA